Molecule: ribosomal RNA, 120 nt
Filed under: Madurella mycetomatis
Lineage: Eukaryota; Fungi; Ascomycota; Sordariomycetes; Sordariales
Source: RNAcentral
ACAUACGACCAUACCCACUGGAGAACUCGGCAUCCCGUCCACUAUCCCAUCGAUAAGUCAGUGAGGACUAGACUAGUAACGGGGUAGGUGGCGACCAGCUAAUUCCUGGUGUUGUAUUUU